RNAcentral lists this long non-coding RNA (972 nucleotides) under Citrus x clementina. RNAcentral describes it as "Citrus clementina (C. clementina) long non-coding RNA (CCLE_LNC002466)". The record is from RNAcentral. Lineage: Eukaryota; Viridiplantae; Streptophyta; Magnoliopsida; Sapindales; Rutaceae.
AAAUUAUCUUGAGCCUUGAGGCAUUGCGUUUGAGCGCACACAGAAACAGAGCUAAAGGAAAAGAACUUGACAGUCGAAGAUGCUCUAAAUAUAACAAAAGUAUAUUUCUACUUCUUGUGGUUAUUUUACUGUUGUCUCUUCGGUCAUCAUAUUUGAUUAAUUGUUCGAAUUCACACUCUCACUUAUUAUUUAAAACCAUUCUUAUGUGGCUUGCAAGCUAAUUAAGUUAAAGCAGAAACAAUACUAUAGACGAAGAUGAGCAAAUUGAAGGUGAUAAGUGCAUAUAUAGUGGCCAAGUCGCUUAUUAUACGUCUCUCAUACUAACAUGAUUCUGAAUUUGAAUUUCCAUGAAUAAUUGUUAGGCUGGUGCACUUAUUCUUGAAAGGGCGUUAAGCUACCUUAUGAAAUUGGAAAGUUAUUAUUGCUUGAAUGCAAGCACCGUCUUCUGUUGCAAAGGCUUUCCCCACAUGAUGAGAUGCUGUGAUUGUUACCGGACCCUUAAUUAUUUAACUCAGGAUUUUAUCAUCAACCACAUCAUCUUAUUCACCAUUUUGGAUAUAUAUAAAGAUUAAAAUUUCUAACAGUUGUUUCGGAUUCUUGUGUAAUCAGAUAAAUGGGGCAAAUGUCAGAACAAAGAUUGCUCAGUGCUGCUGGUAGGGCAAGGAUGAUGAUGGUGAGGAAGAUUGCUCACAAGCCAAGUAGAGCCCUCCAUUUUGAGAAAUAUCAUCCUCAAAUUUGAAUUGUUGAGCAUAUGAAGUGAUGCUAAAGCCUUAAUAUUAAGUCUUUCUGAAAGUUUCAUUUGAAUGAAUUUUCGGAGAUUGAAUGUUAUUAGAGUGAGUAAGAAAAUUAAGCACAUAUCUGCGAUUUGGGUUGUCGGUGAAUGUUCUCCUUUAAUAUUUGUACACACCCAUUUCUUAGUAAAAUUUUCUUCAUGUCUUUUACUAUGACAUAGGCUAAUAGCCGUACCAUAUA